RNAcentral lists this unclassified non-coding RNA (262 nucleotides) under Hevea brasiliensis (rubber tree). Lineage: Eukaryota; Viridiplantae; Streptophyta; Magnoliopsida; Malpighiales; Euphorbiaceae. The record is from RNAcentral.
GAAGCUAGGAGCUGAACUUCACUACACUGAGAGAGGGGGAGACAUUACAUUUCAUGGUCCAAAUCAAUCCAUCUUGUAUCCAAUAAUUUCCCUUAGAGAUAUUGGAUUUGGGGCUAGAAAGUAUGUGGAGAAACUAGAACUGACCAUGAUUGAGAUGGCAUGUUUGUAUGGAGUGAAAGCUAGAGCUGGGGAGAAGGGGGAAACAGGAGUUUGGGUUGGAGAUAGGAAGAUUGGAGCCAUUGGAGUUAGAAUUUCAAACGGG